Tupaia belangeri chinensis (Chinese tree shrew) is the source of this 1369-nucleotide long non-coding RNA. RefSeq lists it as uncharacterized. The record is from RefSeq and is a predicted model, not a curated record. NCBI's taxonomy places the organism in Eukaryota, Metazoa, Chordata, Mammalia, Scandentia, Tupaiidae. The transcript has 4 exons.
CGUCCGGUCUGCAUCACCCUGUGGGUUCAGCUUUGCCUUCCACUCUCCGGACUCCCCGUAUCCUGUUCCAGUCCCACUUUCUCUUUCGUUAGCUGCCUGGACUUCUGCUCUUUGUUCAGAGAAUCCUGCCUGACUCACUGUCCAUCCUCUGAGGGACCACUCCUACCUAGGACCCCACCCUCCAAUUUACCCGGUACCCCCAGCUUGUGUCUGCACACAGAUACCCUCUGUCAGUACUUGAGGAAAGAAUAAGGAAGCCUGACAGUGGAUGUGUGACACUCCAUGAGGAGGAAAUGCACAGACCGAGAAGAGGAGUGAGUUGUGAGAAAGGAGCAGACACCAGGAACCACUCAUUGCAUCAUGCACUUUUGGUUUGGUUUAUACCACUUCCGUUGGCACAGACUUGUGGCUUCGAGGAGGCCUCUGGGAAGGAUGAAUAAAGCAUCUUUACUGUAAAUUACUCAGCAGUGAAAUACCCCAUCUAACCACCUCCAUCCCUGUGGGUUGUAUCGGGUAACCGGCAGAAGAUUGUGGAAAUGAUCGCUGACUCGCGCUUUCUGAAUCAAGCUAUCGACAUAUUCAGGAAACUGAACUCUCCACCCCCCAAUCUCCAUCAGGCUGGCCAGAUAGAAGCUCGUUCCAGAAUAAUGAAAUCUCAGCUUGACGGAUCAUCUCCUCCCUUUGCCCAUCUCAAGUCCCCUUUGGCCAGCUCUGCACACCUCUAGAUGUGGGCAGUUUUUCCUCGUGGUGGUCAUGGCUGCCCUGAGAACAGUAUUCUGUCCUUUCCUGAUCAUCGUCGUCAUCACCAGCAUCAGAUCACGGCCAGUCUCUCCUGCUUGGAUGGGGCAUAGUCUCACAUGGCCGACUUCAUUCUUCAUUCUCCAGCCUAUGAAGAACCUGUGAGACCCCACUUAGGGGUCACAGUAUUUCUGCCCGCCGUCCUAACUGUCCCCCAUGUAAGUCAAUGGGUCUUUCCUGUCUCAGAUCUUUCUACAUUGCACCACUGUCCUCCACAGCAGUUGACUCUGGGGCUUUUCUCCCCACCUGGAUAUUCAGUGUAAAGCUUGCUUCAGCCCAUCCUUUGGCAAACACAUUCUUGUUCCUAGCCUAUGAGCUCCACUUCAAGCUAAGAACCUCUUUCUUCUGGGAUCUUAAGAUGUGCAGGAUGUAGCAAGUCAAAAUCCAAACAAUCACCCAUUCGCCUCCCUCAUCUCUCUCAGCUGUCCCCACAUCCACAGGAAGAAGCCAGGGAACUUCCCACUCCGCUUCCUCCCGUGUUGGGCCCAGGACUCAGCAGUCUCCAUUGGUGCCACAGGAUCAGUGGCCACUGGGCGGACAGUAUCAACAGGCAUGAGGAGGAGUGGCGAGU